CACCGGCGGCUCGAGUGGUGGCCACUUUUAUUGGGUCUAAAGCGUCCGUAGCCGGCUUGGCAAGUCCCCUGGGAAAUCUGGCGGCUUAACCGUCAGGCGUCCAGAGGAUACUGCCAGGCUUGGCACCGGGAGAGGUGAGAGGUACCUCAGGGGUAGGGGUGAAAUCUUGUGAUCCCUGAGGGACCACCAGUGGCGAAGGCGUCUCCCUAGAACGGGUCCAACGUUCAGGGGCGAAAGCUGGGGGCACGAACAGG
RNAcentral lists this ribosomal RNA (254 nucleotides) under uncultured microorganism. RNAcentral's name for it is "partial 16S ribosomal RNA". It matches the Rfam family "Archaeal small subunit ribosomal RNA", at positions 474 to 727 of the family's 1478-position model. The record is from RNAcentral.